GCGGUAGUAGCUCAAUUGGCAGAGCAUCUCCUUCCCAAGGAGAAGGUCGCGAGUUCGAGGCUCGUCUACCGCU
RNAcentral lists this transfer RNA (73 nucleotides) under Candidatus Gottesmanbacteria bacterium. RNAcentral's name for it is "tRNA-Gly". It matches the Rfam family "tRNA". From Rfam's summary of the family: Transfer RNA (tRNA) molecules are approximately 80 nucleotides in length. Their secondary structure includes four short double-helical elements and three loops (D, anti-codon, and T loops). Lineage: Bacteria; Candidatus Gottesmaniibacteriota. The record is from RNAcentral.